RNAcentral lists this ribosomal RNA (465 nucleotides) under Vreelandella stevensii. RNAcentral describes it as "partial 16S ribosomal RNA". It matches the Rfam family "Bacterial small subunit ribosomal RNA", at positions 338 to 795 of the family's 1533-position model. The record is from RNAcentral. Lineage: Bacteria; Pseudomonadati; Pseudomonadota; Gammaproteobacteria; Oceanospirillales; Halomonadaceae.
CCUACGGGCGGCUGCAGUGGGGAAUAUUGGACAAUGGGCGAAAGCCUGAUCCAGCUAUGCCGCGUGUGUGAAGAAGGCCUUCGGGUUGUAAAGCACUUUCAGUGGGGAAGAAAGCCUUGGGGCUAAUACCCUCGAGGAAGGACAUCACCCACAGAAGAAGCACCGGCUAACUCCGUGCCAGCAGCCGCGGUAAUACGGAGGGUGCGAGCGUUAAUCGGAAUUACUGGGCGUAAAGCGCGCGUAGGCGGUCUGAUAAGCCGGUUGUGAAAGCCCCGGGCUCAACCUGGGAACGGCAUCCGGAACUGUCAGGCUAGAGUGCAGGAGAGGAAGGUAGAAUUCCCGGUGUAGCGGUGAAAUGCGUAGAGAUCGGGAGGAAUACCAGUGGCGAAGGCGGCCUUCUGGACUGACACUGACGCUGAGGUGCGAAAGCGUGGGUAGCAAACAGGAUUAGAUACCCUAGUAGUC